Molecule: ribosomal RNA, 374 nt
Filed under: uncultured organism
Description: partial 16S ribosomal RNA
Rfam family: Bacterial small subunit ribosomal RNA
Source: RNAcentral
GUAGGUGGCAAGCGUUGUCCGGAAUUAUUGGGCGUAAAGCGCGCGCAGGUGGUUCUUUAAGUCUGAUGUGAAAGCCCCCGGCUCAACCGGGGAGGGUCAUUGGAAACUGGGGAACUUGAGUGCAGGAGAGGAAAGUGGAACUCCACGUGUAGCGGUGAAAUGCGUAGAUAUGUGGAGGAACACCAGUGGCGAAGGCGACUUUCUGGCCUGCAACUGACACUGAGGCGCGAAAGCGUGGGGAGCAAACAGGGAUUAGAUACCCUGGUAGUCCACGCCGUAAACGAUGAGUGCUAAGUGUUGGGGGGGUUUCCCGCCCCUCAGUGCUGCAGCUAACGCAUUAAGCACUCCGCCUGGGGAGUACGGUCGCAAGACUG